This is a non-coding RNA of Trichobilharzia regenti, 45 nucleotides long. The record is from Rfam. NCBI's taxonomy places the organism in Eukaryota, Metazoa, Platyhelminthes, Trematoda, Strigeidida, Schistosomatidae.
AUCCAGCUGAUGAGUCCCAAAUAGGACGAAAUGCACCUCCUGGAU